UACGAAGGGGGCUAGCGUUGUUCGGAUUUACUGGGCGUAAAGCGCGUGUAGGCGGAUCGUUAAGUCGGGGGUGAAAGCCCUGAGCUCAACUCUGGAACUGCCUUCGAUACUGGCAGUCUGGAGCACGGUAGAGGUGAGUGGAAUUCCGAGUGUAGAGGUGAAAUUCGUAGAUAUUCGGAGGAAGACCAGUGGCGAAGGCGGCUAUCUGGUCUCUACCUGACACGGAGGCGCGAAAGCGUGGGGAGCAACCAGG
This 253-nucleotide ribosomal RNA is filed under the name uncultured bacterium. Its description in RNAcentral is "partial 16S ribosomal RNA". It matches the Rfam family "Bacterial small subunit ribosomal RNA", at positions 524 to 776 of the family's 1533-position model. The record is from RNAcentral.